UUCUGUUUGAUCCCGGCGGAGCCUACUGCUAUUGGGAUUCGAUUACGCCAUGCGAGUUGAAUGAAUUUAGAUUCAUGGCGUACGGCUCAGUAACACGUGGAUAACUUACCCUUAGGACUGGGAUAACUCUGGGAAACUGGGGAUAAUACCGGAUAUUAGGCUAUGGCUGGAAUGCUUUGCCUUUGAAAUGUUUCUUGUAUUCGCCUAAGGAUAGAUCUGCGGCUGAUUAGGUCGUUGGUGGGGUAAUGGCCCACCAAGCCUAUGAUCGGUACGGGUUGUGAGAGCAAGAGCCCGGAGAUGGAACCUGAGACAAGGUUCCAGACCCUACGGGGUGCAGCAGGCGCGAAACCUCCGCAAUGUACGAAAGUGCGACGGGGGGAUCCCAAGUGUUAUUCUUAAUAGGAUAACUUUUCAUUAGUGUAAAAAGCUUUUAGAAUAAGAGCUGGGCAAGACCGGUGCCAGCCGCCGCGGUAACACCGGCAGCUNCAGUGGUAGCUGUUUUUUAUUGGGCCUAAAGCGUUCGUAGCCGGGUUUGAUAGUCUUUGGUUGAAGCUUAUGGGCUAACUGUAAGAAUUGCUGAAGAUACUGUCAGACUUGAAGUCGGGAAA
This 608-nucleotide ribosomal RNA is filed under the name uncultured rumen archaeon. RNAcentral describes it as "bacterial SSU rRNA". It matches the Rfam family "Archaeal small subunit ribosomal RNA", at positions 1 to 606 of the family's 1478-position model. The record is from RNAcentral.